This 408-nucleotide long non-coding RNA is filed under the name Heterocephalus glaber (naked mole-rat). RNAcentral's name for it is "lncRNA (ENSHGLG00100052282.1)". Lineage: Eukaryota; Metazoa; Chordata; Mammalia; Rodentia; Bathyergidae. The record is from RNAcentral.
CAGCUCUGGGGCUCAUGGACUUCUCUGUUCUGGUUCUUAAUCCUCGUGUUGGUGAGGCAAGGUGGCUCACCCUGAUCCCUGGCUGUCUGAAUAACACGCUCACCUUCAAUUCCCCACCUUCUCUCCAAAAGAGACUUUGAUCGAUGACUCUGACAUUCCUUUCGUGGCAAAAUGAAACGUUCAGUUGGAAAACUGCAAACAGGCUCGUGACCCUGGACAAGCCUCCAAUUUCCUCACCUUGAUUUCUGCAAAAGUCUCCUUGACUGGUGUCCUGCAUCUCCUCUCUCGCUGAGUCUUCUCAGAGCAGCCAGAGGGGGCUUUGGAGAAACAAAAACAGACCUUGCACCCCCAGGUCAUCUUCUUAGGCAAGGGCUGGAGGGGACUUGGCUGGGCACCACAAGCUGCAAG